AUAGGAGUAUUUCAAUUGGUAGAAUCCGUGUUCUGGAAACAUGAGGUUGUCAGUUCGAGUCUGGCCUUCUAUA
This 73-nucleotide transfer RNA is filed under the name Ferruginibacter sp. RNAcentral's name for it is "tRNA-Pro". It matches the Rfam family "tRNA". Rfam says of the family: Transfer RNA (tRNA) molecules are approximately 80 nucleotides in length. Their secondary structure includes four short double-helical elements and three loops (D, anti-codon, and T loops). Lineage: Bacteria; Pseudomonadati; Bacteroidota; Chitinophagia; Chitinophagales; Chitinophagaceae. The record is from RNAcentral.